RNAcentral lists this unclassified non-coding RNA (181 nucleotides) under Glomeromycotina sp. RNAcentral describes it as "partial contains small subunit ribosomal RNA, internal transcribed spacer 1, and 5.8S ribosomal RNA". The stretch from base 1 to 47 matches the Rfam family "Eukaryotic small subunit ribosomal RNA", at positions 1785 to 1831 of the family's 1831-position model. Lineage: Eukaryota; Fungi; Glomeromycota. The record is from RNAcentral.
AAAGUCGUAACAAGGUUUCCGUAGGUGAACCUGCGGAAGGAUCAUUACCGAUUUUAGCGAACCUGGCCUUUGGUCAUGGUCUCGCGAAAAACUUGUAUUUAAAACCCCACCCUUAUAAAACGAAAUAUUUUGUAUAUGUAAUAAAAUAAGAUCACUUUCAACAACGGAUCUCUUGGCUCUC